GCAGUCGAGCGGAUGACGGGAGCUUGCUCCUUGAUUCAGCGGCGGACGGGUGAGUAAUGCCUAGGAAUCUGCCUGGUAGUGGGGGACAACGUUUCGAAAGGAACGCUAAUACCGCAUACGUCCUACGGGAGAAAGCAGGGGACCUUCGGGCCUUGCGCUAUCAGAUGAGCCUAGGUCGGAUUAGCUAGUUGGUGGGGUAAUGGCUCACCAAGGCGACGAUCCGUAACUGGUCUGAGAGGAUGAUCAGUCACACUGGAACUGAGACACGGUCCAGACUCCUACGGGAGGCAGCAGUGGGGAAUAUUGGACAAUGGGCGAAAGCCUGAUCCAGCCAUGCCGCGUGUGUGAAGAAGGUCUUCGGAUUGUAAAGCACUUUAAGUUGGGAGGAAGGGCAGUAAGCUAAUACCUUGCUGUUUUGACGUUACCGACAGAAUAAGCACCGGCUAACUCUGUGCCAGCAGCCGCGGUAAUACAGAGGGUGCAAGCGUUAAUCGGAAUUACUGGGCGUAAAGCGCGCGUAGGUGGUUUGUUAAGUUGGAUGUGAAAGCCCCGGGCUCAACCUGGGAACUGCAUCCAAAACUGGCAAGCUAGAGUACGGUAGAGGGUGGUGGAAUUUCCUGUGUAGCGGUGAAAUGCGUAGAUAUAGGAAGGAACACCAGUGGCGAAGGCGACCACCUGGACUGAUACUGACACUGAGGUGCGAAAGCGUGGGGAGCAAACAGGAUUACAUACCCUGGNAGUCCACGCCGUAAACGAUGUCAACUACCCGUUGGA
Molecule: ribosomal RNA, 774 nt
Filed under: Pseudomonas putida
Lineage: Bacteria; Pseudomonadati; Pseudomonadota; Gammaproteobacteria; Pseudomonadales; Pseudomonadaceae
Description: bacterial SSU rRNA
Rfam family: Bacterial small subunit ribosomal RNA
Source: RNAcentral